AGGGAGUUAGUCCAAAGCAAGACCUCUGAUUUCGGCUCAGAAAAUUAUGGUUCAACUCCAUAGCCCCCUU
This 70-nucleotide transfer RNA is filed under the name Diptychus maculatus (scaly osman). RNAcentral describes it as "tRNA-Arg". It matches the Rfam family "tRNA". Rfam says of the family: Transfer RNA (tRNA) molecules are approximately 80 nucleotides in length. Their secondary structure includes four short double-helical elements and three loops (D, anti-codon, and T loops). The record is from RNAcentral. Lineage: Eukaryota; Metazoa; Chordata; Actinopteri; Cypriniformes; Cyprinidae.